RNAcentral lists this unclassified non-coding RNA (18 nucleotides) under Mus musculus (house mouse). RNAcentral's name for it is "oocyte_clustered_small_RNA3890". The record is from RNAcentral. Lineage: Eukaryota; Metazoa; Chordata; Mammalia; Rodentia; Muridae.
UGAAGAGGGAGAAGGGGA